RNAcentral lists this ribosomal RNA (119 nucleotides) under Eucalyptus grandis. The record is from RNAcentral. Lineage: Eukaryota; Viridiplantae; Streptophyta; Magnoliopsida; Myrtales; Myrtaceae.
GGGUGCGAUCAUACCAGCACUAAUGCACCGGAUCCCAUCAGAACUCCGUAGUUAAGCGUGCUUGGGCGAGAGUAGUACUAGGAUGGGUGACCUCCUGGGAAGUCCUCGUGUUGCCCCCC